CCGCUUUUAGAAAAUAAAAAGUUUCACAGAGAAAACCGCUUAUGAGGACAAAUAAAUUGCAAUUUGAAACCAUUAUGUCAAUUUCGUGUCUCUUAGCUUCAACUGCAAUUUGCUACAGUGAAUUCGUGCCAUUGAAAAUCGUAAUGCCUGUUUAUUCAUAUUCUGUUUGUAAUAACACUGCAAACGUACUACACAAAAAUAAGAAUAAGAACUUUCUUAAAAUAGCUAAAAAGCUGAAAAUAUACUAUGUACAAUCUAAUUAGUAAAAAAUCAGUGUACCAAAAAAAUAACACACCGGAAAAUCACUCGGAUAUUUUAAACCUGUAUUGUCUUAAUAAAAACGGACUCAGAACCUUCAACUUUAGAACAAAAAAAAAGUACAACUAACAAAACAUUUACACUUACUUAAAAUCACUCAGAUAUUUAAAACCUUUAUUGAAUUUUUUAAACUACAUGUAACUAUUUUUAUUGGCUUUCUUAAAGUACUCAUUAUUGUUAGAUUGUCACGCUACUAGGCAGAAAAACAUAACAAUUCAUUCUAAAUUCACAAAAUAUAAUUAUAAAAAUUAACCUGUAUUGUCUUUAAAAAAACGGACUCGAAUCUUUCAACUUUAGAACCAAAAAAAGUACAACUAGCGAAACAUUUACACUUACUUUAAAAUCAUUCACAUAUUUAAAACCUUUAUUGAAUUUUAUUAAGUACAUGUAACUAUUUUUAUUGGCUUUUUAAAAGUACUCAUUAUUAUUAGAUUGUCACACUACUAGAGGAAAAAAAAUAACAAUUCAUACUAAAAUACUAAAUUUACAUUAAAAGUAAAUAAUACGAUUAACAAUACCCGAUAUUUACCAUUUUAAACGUUGCACGCGAUGGGACAACUAGUUUUUAUAAGAUGGAAAUAAGAUUAAAACAAUUUUCUUUCCUUUCUUUUCCCUCCAAAUCCCUUCAACCAAAAAUGGCUUAAUUCUCAAAUUUAAAACAUCACAAUCAAACAAUUCAUAAGAUUUUGAGUGCGACGUUAACAUCUUACGGAGUUAUUUGUUGCCUGCUACUGCAGUUCCUGAACAUGGCUUUGAUUUUCUGCACUUCGAGGAUUGCAGCAAUUACACCAACACAUAUUUCCGGUUCAAAGCCUUCAGAUUACGAACUUAAACCUAGAAUUGUCCGCCCAUUACAGGUAAGGUGUAAGGGGAAAUCAGAACUGGAAACAUCCAAGCAACUCUGUUUUAGUCGAAGAGAUGCGAUGAUUUGUUUGACCACUUUGUCAGCAAGUGGGAUUGGACUAUCAUAAUCACCUGAAAUUGCUGAAGCACGCAUUACAAAGAAAGAAAUGCGUCGGAAAAUCAAAGAAAAGCUUGAAAUGUUGAGAGAAAAGGCUGGCCUUUCAAAGCAAAAAGAUAACAAGGAAACACCACCCUCCACAGAGGAUAUUCUUCCACUAGUUCCAUCUCCUUUUCCACUCCCAAAUCCUCCCAUGGGAUUGAAUAAAUCGCUAGUAGAAACAACUUUGCUAUAAUUACUAUUUGAAAUUGAAUUGUAAAAUUUCAUUUUCAAAUAUGCAUGCCUUUUGCUAGUUUAGCAGGCUUCUUCAGCUAUUGACUAGAGUUUCCCUUUAUGGGUACUGAUGGUUACUUGGUUAGUUCCCUUCUGUAGUGACAAUCUAAGUCGCUAAAAUCUUUAGUUCUUUACAUAAAAAUCCCAUUGCAAAAUUAGGGAACUUUCUGUGUAAAUAUGGACCUUUAGAAUGUCCCUUUAUGGGAACUGAUGGUUAGUUCCCUUCUGUAGUGACAGCUUUAAUGUACCGGUUUAACCUCAA
Molecule: long non-coding RNA, 1814 nt
Organism: Chenopodium quinoa (quinoa)
Lineage: Eukaryota; Viridiplantae; Streptophyta; Magnoliopsida; Caryophyllales; Amaranthaceae
Exons: 2
Source: RefSeq, a predicted model, not a curated record